AACGAACGCUGGCGGCAGGCCUAACACAUGCAAGUCGAACGCCGUAGCAAUACGGAGUGGCAGACGGGUGAGUAACACGUGGGAACGUGCCCAAAGGUACGGAACAACUCCGGGAAACUGGAGCUAAUACCGUAUGUGCCCGAAAGGGGAAAGAUUUAUCGCCUUUGGAUCGGCCCGCGUCUGAUUAGCUAGUUGGUGGGGUAAUGGCCCACCAAGGCGACGAUCAGUAGCUGGUCUGAGAGGAUGAUCAGCCACACUGGGACUGAGACACGGCCCAGACUCCUACGGGAGGCAGCAGUGGGGAAUAUUGGACAAUGGGCGCAAGCCUGAUCCAGCCAUGCCGCGUGAGUGAUGAAGGCCUUAGGGUUGUAAAGCUCUUUUGUCCGGGAAGAUAAUGACGGUACCGGAAGAAUAAGCUCCGGCUAACUUCGUGCCAGCCGCCGCCGUAAGAC
RNAcentral lists this ribosomal RNA (452 nucleotides) under uncultured bacterium. RNAcentral describes it as "bacterial SSU rRNA". It matches the Rfam family "Bacterial small subunit ribosomal RNA", at positions 29 to 526 of the family's 1533-position model. The record is from RNAcentral.